UGCUGCAAUAGCUUAGCUGGUAGAGCACAAGACUCUUAAUCUCAGGGUUCACGGGUUCAAGCCCCACAUUAGGCAA
Molecule: non-coding RNA, 76 nt
Organism: Podarcis lilfordi (Lilford's wall lizard)
Lineage: Eukaryota; Metazoa; Chordata; Lepidosauria; Squamata; Lacertidae
Source: the annotation of a GenBank genome assembly